UACGAAGGGGGCUAGCGUUGCUCGGAAUUACUGGGCGUAAAGCGCACGUAGGCGGCUUGCCAAGUUGGGGGUGAAAUCCCGAGGCUCAACCUCGGAAUUGCCUUCAAAACUGGCAGGCUUGAGUUCGGAAGAGGUGAGUGGAAUUCCCAGUGUAGAGGUGAAAUUCGUAGAGAUUGGGAAGAACACCAGUGGCGAAGGCGGCUCACUGGUCCGCAACUGACGCUGAGGUGCGAAAGCGUGGGGAGCAAACAGG
Molecule: ribosomal RNA, 253 nt
Filed under: uncultured bacterium
Lineage: Bacteria
Description: partial 16S ribosomal RNA
Rfam family: Bacterial small subunit ribosomal RNA
Source: RNAcentral